RNAcentral lists this small nuclear RNA (111 nucleotides) under Mus spicilegus (steppe mouse). Lineage: Eukaryota; Metazoa; Chordata; Mammalia; Rodentia; Muridae. The record is from RNAcentral.
GUGCCUGCUUCGGCAGUACAUAUACUAAAAUUGGAAUGAUAUAGAGAAGAUUAGGAUGGCCCCUGUGCUAGGAUGACACACACAAGGAUUCGUGAAGUGUUCCAUAUUAAA